This 1232-nucleotide long non-coding RNA is filed under the name Salvator merianae (Argentine black and white tegu). RNAcentral's name for it is "lncRNA (ENSSMRG00000004904.1)". Lineage: Eukaryota; Metazoa; Chordata; Lepidosauria; Squamata; Teiidae. The record is from RNAcentral.
AAAGGAAUGACACAGAUACCUUAUAUGACAAAAGAGCUGGGCCGUCCAAGGAUUGUGGGAGUCCAGAAACCUCACCUCUUUUGUGGAGAGUUUUGAGACAGAAGGCAAAGACAUUUGAACUGGGGAAAGCUCAGAUAUUUCCAAACCUAGAGCUGGCAUCUGCAUUGACUGAGGGAAUUCUGCAGAAGGAACUACCCAUUCCACAGUUUCCUCAGGAGAUGAAGAGAUCCUGCAUGGUUCAAUUACAGCAAGAAUCAGAGAUGGAGCCAAAGACCCCUAAGCAUCAGGAACCAAAGGAGAAAAGCAUUCUUUAUUCCCAGAAGCUGAAGAAACCAGAUGUCACACAAAUACAGUCAGAAAAAGUGCCAGUUCUUUCCACGUCCCUUCAAGUGCAAGGAGGGAAAACACCUGAAAUUUACCAGGCUACUUUGGUGGAUCAGUCAAACAUUCUUUCUUCACAAGAAAUACAGAUCCUUCAGUCUCAAGGCAUGAAAGACCAGGAAACUCCUCCAGCCCAGAAUAUUCCACAAAGACCAGCAAAACUACUUUAUAGUCAGGAAGUUCCUCAGAGGAAGCUGGAAUUGCUAAAACAUUCAGGAAUCUUUGUCCAAGGAGAACUGAAGGAGCCCCAGCACUGUAAGAGAGAUAGCCAGGAAAAUGGAGGGUCUCAAGUGACACAAAAAGAGAUACAGGUUCCUCAGUCUCAGGACAGCAGAAGUCUAGAAUCUCCCCCUCUUCUAUGGAAGGCCCUGACAGUGAAGUCAAAAUCUUUUGACCAGAGGAAAUCACAUGCUUCUGAAGCAGAAGGCCUGGUAGAAUCACUAAUGAUGCAGUCACAGAGAUCAAAAAUGGAACAGAUGUAUAACCUACAGGGUUCUAUGGAUCCAAAUACCCUUUCUCUUCAGGAGGAUGGGUCCCAUCAGAUGCACACAGAGAAGAAGAACAUGCAGGAUCAAGGAACAUUGUCAUCUGAUUCCCAAGAUCCUGUAUCCCAGGAAGGAGGGAGUCUAGAAAUCCCUGUGCCUCCAGAAGAUAUGCUGGAGAAAUUACACUGUCCAGUUCUUGAAGAAAGGACGAGCCUUUUGGGUCAAGAAAAAAGGCAUCUGGAGGCCCAAACAAGUCCACAUAUAAAAAUAAACAUGUUAGACUCUGUGCACUGGGAAGCAAAACAAAGAGAGCUGGAAAUGUCAGAAGAUCCAGGGACAAAUGCUCAAGAAUUAGAGGAGCCACAG